CCUACGGGAGGCAGCAGUGAGGAAUAUUGGUCAAUGGGCGCUAGCCUGAACCAGCCAAGUAGCGUGAAGGAUGACUGCCCUAUGGGUUGUAAGCUUCUUUUAUAUGGGAAUAAAGUGCAGUAUGUAUACUGCUUUGCAUGUACCUUUUGAAUAAGGAUCGGCUAACUACGUGCCAGCAGCCGCGGUAAUACGGAGGAUCCGAGCGUUAUCCGGGUUUAUUGGGUGUAAAGGGAGGGUAGGCGGGUUGGUAAGUCAGUUGUGAAAGUUUGCGGCUCAACCGUAAAAUUGCUGUUGAUACUGGCAGGCUUGAGUGCAGGAGAGGUAGGCGGAAUGCGUGGUGUAGCGGUGAAAUGCGUAGAUAUCACGAAGAACACCGAUUGCGAAGGCAGCCUGCUGGACUGUAACUGACGCUGAUGCUCGAAAGUGUGGGUAUCAAACAGGAUUAGAUACCCUAGUAGUC
Molecule: ribosomal RNA, 460 nt
Filed under: uncultured bacterium
Lineage: Bacteria
Description: partial 16S ribosomal RNA
Rfam family: Bacterial small subunit ribosomal RNA
Source: RNAcentral